GCUGGCGGCGUGCCUAAUACAUGCAAGUCGAGCGCGGGAAGCGAGCUGAUCCCUUUCGGGGGGUGACGCUCGUGGAACGAGCGGCGGACGGGUGAGUAACACGUGGGCAACCUGCCUGUAAGAUCGGAAUAACCCCGGGAAACCGGGGCUAAUGCCGGGUAACACUUUCCUUCGCAUGAAGGAGAGUUGAAAGAUGGCUUCUUGCUAUCACUUACAGAUGGGCCCGCGGCGCAUUAGCUAGUUGGUGAGGUAACGGCUCACCAAGGCGACGAUGCGUAGCCGACCUGAGAGGGUGAUCGGCCACACUGGGACUGAGACACGGCCCAGACUCCUACGGGAGGCAGCAGUAGGGAAUCUUCCGCAAUGGACGAAAGUCUGACGGAGCAACGCCGCGUGAACGAUGAAGGUCUUCGGAUCGUAAAGUUCUGUUGUUAGGGAAGAACAAGUACCGUGCGAAUAGAGCGGUACCUUGACGGUACCUAACGAGGAAGCCCCGGCUAACUACGUGCCAGCAGCCGCGGUAAUACGUAGGGGGCAAGCGUUGUCCGGAAUUAUUGGGCGUAAAGCGCGCGCAGGCGGUUCCUUAAGUCUGAUGUGAAAGCCCACGGCUCAACCGUGGAGGGUCAUUGGAAACUGGGGAGCUUGAGGACAGAAGAGGAGAGUGGAAUUCCACGUGUAGCGGUGAAAUGCGUAGAUAUGUGGAGGAACACCAGUGGCGAAGGCGACUCUCUGGUCUGUUUCUGACGCUGAGGUGCGAAAGCGUGGGUAGCAAACAGGAUUAGAUACCCUGGUAGUCCACGCCGUAAACGAUGAGUGCUAGGUGUUAGGGGGCUUCCACCCCUUAGUGCUGAAGUUAACGCAUUAAGCACUCCGCCUGGGGAGUACGGCCGCAAGGCUGAAACUCAAAGGAAUUGACGGGGGCCCGCACAAGCGGUGGAGCAUGUGGUUUAAUUCGAAGCAACGCGAAGAACCUUACCAGGUCUUGACAUCCUUGGACCUCCCUAGAGAUAGGGAUUUCCCUUCGGGGACCAAGUGACAGGUGGUGCAUGGUUGUCGUCAGCUCGUGUCGUGAGAUGUUGGGUUAAGUCCCGCAACGAGCGCAACCCCUAAUCUUAGUUGCCAGCAUUUAGUUGGGCACUCUAAGGUGACUGCCGGUGACAAACCGGAGGAAGGCGGGGAUGACGUCAAAUCAUCAUGCCCCUUAUGACCUGGGCUACACACGUGCUACAAUGGAUGGUACAAAGGGCAGCGAAGCCGCGAGGUGUAGCAAAUC
This 1273-nucleotide ribosomal RNA is filed under the name Halobacillus sp. RNAcentral describes it as "bacterial SSU rRNA". It matches the Rfam family "Bacterial small subunit ribosomal RNA", at positions 35 to 1273 of the family's 1533-position model. Lineage: Bacteria; Bacillati; Bacillota; Bacilli; Caryophanales; Bacillaceae. The record is from RNAcentral.